Molecule: ribosomal RNA, 1168 nt
Filed under: uncultured Bacteroides sp.
Lineage: Bacteria; Pseudomonadati; Bacteroidota; Bacteroidia; Bacteroidales; Bacteroidaceae
Description: bacterial SSU rRNA
Rfam family: Bacterial small subunit ribosomal RNA
Source: RNAcentral
AGUUUGAUCCUGGCUCAGGAUGAACGCUAGCUACAGGCUUAACACAUGCAAGUCGAGGGGCAGCAUUGGAGUAGCAAUACUUCAGAUGGCGACCGGCGCACGGGUGAGUAACACGUAUCCAACCUGCCGCUUACUCGGGGAUAGCCUUUCGAAAGAAAGAUUAAUACCCGAUGGUAUAAAGAGUUCGCAUGUUCUCUUUAUUAAAGAAUUUCGGUAAGCGAUGGGGAUGCGUUCCAUUAGAUAGUUGGCGGGGUAACGGCCCACCAAGUCUACGAUGGAUAGGGGUUCUGGGAGGAAGGUCCCCCACAUUGGAACUGAGACACGGUCCAAACUCCUACGGGAGGCAGCAGUGAGGAAUAUUGGUCAAUGGACGAGAGUCUGAACCAGCCAAGUAGCGUGAAGGAUGACUGCCCUAUGGGUUGUAAACUUCUUUUAUAAGGGAAUAAAGUGAGGGACGUGUCCCUUUUUGUAUGUACCUUAUGAAUAAGGAUCGGCUAACUCCGUGCCAGCAGCCGCGGUAAUACGGAGGAUCCGAGCGUUAUCCGGAUUUAUUGGGUUUAAAGGGAGCGUAGGUUGACGUAUAAGUCAGCUGUGAAAGUUUACGGCUCAACCGUGAAAUUGCAGUUGAUACUGUAUGUCUUGAGUGUACAAGAGGUGGGCGGAAUUCGUGGUGUAGCGGUGAAAUGCUUAGAUAUCACGAAGAACUCCAAUUGCGAAGGCAGCUCACUGGGGUACAACUGACACUGAGGCUCGAAAGUGUGGGUAUCAAACAGGAUUAGAUACCCUGGUAGUCCACACAGUAAACGAUGAAUACUCGCUGUUUGCGAUAUACAGUAAGCGGCCAAGCGAAAGCAUUAAGUAUUCCACCUGGGGAGUACGCCGGCAACGGUGAAACUCAAAGGAAUUGACGGGGGCCCGCACAAGCGGAGGAACAUGUGGUUUAAUUCGAUGAUACGCGAGGAACCUUACCCGGGCUUGAAUUGCAGAGGAACAUAGUUGAAAGAUUAUGGCCGCAAGGUCUCUGUGAAGGUGCUGCAUGGUUGUCGUCAGCUCGUGCCGUGAGGUGUCGGCUUAAGUGCCAUAACGAGCGCAACCCUUAUCAUUAGUUACUAACAGGUCAUGCUGAGGACUCUAGUGAGACUGCCGUCGUAAGAUGUGAGGAAGGUGG